UGCUGACAGAAUCAAGUUCGUUUCAUCUGCCCCAAAGCGCCGCCGUGUGCACUCCGUGGUGCUCGAGGACUCUGACUUUUGAUACGAAGAAAAACCCAAAUCUAUCUCUCUCUCCUCCCUCCAACAAACGCCGAAGACAGAUCGGCGUUUCAGAUCGUAGACGAACCGUUUCAAGUGCUAGCUGCACCAUGGGCUCUUCAAAUGGAUUAUCAAAUGCACAAGAGAAGCCACCUCUCUUUUCUUUUGGGGUUAUCUCUGACGUUCAGUAUGCUGAUAUUCCUGACGGUCGCUCAUUUAUUGGGGUUCCUCGAUAUUAUCGGCAUAGUAUUCUUGUGUUGCAGAGGGCAGUGCAGAACUGGAACCACCACCAGAAGCUUAAAUUCACGAUAAAUUUUGGGGACAUUGUUGAUGGGUUUUGCCCCAAGGACCAAUCUCUAGAUUCUGUGAAGAAAGUUAUUAAUGAAUUCGACAAAUUCAAUGGCCCUGUCUAUCACAUGAUUGGUAAUCACUGCCUCUACAAUCUUCCCCGCAGCAAAUUACUUCCCUUACUGAAGAUUCCAAGUGUUGAUGAUCAUGCCUAUUUUGAGUUUUCACCAACUCCAGAGUACAGAUUCGUUGUUCUGGAUGGCUAUGAUAUCAGUGCCAUUGGCUGGCCUCAAGAUCAUCCAAACAUGUUAGAAGCCUUAAAUUUUCUCCGUGAAAAGAACCCAAAUUCUGAAAAGAACAGUCCUUCGGGACUAGUGGGCCUUGAGAGAAGGUUCCUUAUGUUCAAUGGAGGAGUUGGGAAACAACAAUUGGAAUGGUUAGAUGGUGUACUUCAGGAAGCAUCGAAGCUAAAUCAGAAAGUAGUGGUCUGUUGCCAUAUUCCUCUAGAUCCUGGUGCAUCGUCAAAAGAAGCACUUCUUUGGAAUUACAAUGAAGUAAUGGAUGUUAUACACAGAUAUGAUUGUGUAAAGGUUUGCCUAGCUGGGCAUGAUCACAGAGGUGGGCACUCAAUUGACUCCCAUGGAGUGCACCACAGAGUCCUUGAAGCUGCCCUAGAAUGCCCUCCAGGAACAGAUUCAUUUGGGUAUGUGAAUGUUUAUGAUGACAGGUUAUCACUUAUUGGUACUGAUAGAAUGCAAAGCACUGACAUUUGUUUCAACCCUCAAGCAGACUGAUGAGAAAAUAACAGCGUUAAAGAACCCUAUUAAUCAUUUGUUAAUAAUGAUGUGUAGAGUGUACAUUACCUCCAAAGAACCAUAUAUGUAGAGACAUUGAAAGGGUUCAAGAUUUCACUGCAUUCCUUACAAUAUUUGGGACAGUCAGCAAGUACUUGUUGCUCCAGUUCUUUCUUCUGCUGUAGCAUCAGCUUUCUGCUAGAUCUACUUCAAUUUGAAAGUGAUGUUGGACGACACAGCCCUGCCUUUGGUACACGCAGAAGGCACCGUUCGAGCAGUGGUGUUGUGUAGAGCAACAGUGUCGACACAAUGAGCUCCGCUCGAGCGGAGCAAGACAGUGUGCAGACUUGAGCAUCACACGAGGGGGCUUGAGCAGAGAAGCCCAGACUCCGCCGUUUCAGCAGCUAGUUCCCAAAAUGAAAGGAUUGAGACAAGAUUUCGACUUGGUUUUCCAUCCAAACUUUGCUCCAAUUUCAGUAUGAUUAGUUUCCUAGUUCCUUGUUGAUUGAGAAAGAUGAUUAAAAAUCCAAUAUUCGCCUACUAAUUAUGGCAUAGCAUCCACUAUCAAGUUGCAGAUGAUCAUGCCAUGCACAUUUUGUUAUUUACUAAUGCAACAGAUCGAGUAAUUAAUGGGUCGAUUUGCUG
This is an RNA transcript of Corylus avellana, 1805 nucleotides long. It is a transcript of the gene named manganese-dependent ADP-ribose/CDP-alcohol diphosphatase-like protein, with no coding region annotated. Lineage: Eukaryota; Viridiplantae; Streptophyta; Magnoliopsida; Fagales; Betulaceae. The record is from RefSeq and is a predicted model, not a curated record.